UACGAAGGGGGCUAGCGUUGUUCGGAAUUACUGGGCGUAAAGCGCGCGUAGGCGGACUGGUCAGUUGGGGGUGAAAUCCCGGGGCUCAACCUCGGAACUGCCUCCAAAACUUCCAGCCUGGACUCAAGCAGAGGCAAGUGGAAUUGCGAGUGUAGAGGUGAAAUUCGUAGAUAUUCGCAGGAACACCAGUGGCGAAGGCGACUUGCUGGGCUUGUAGUGACGCUGAGACGCGAAAGCGUGGGGAGCAAACAGG
Molecule: ribosomal RNA, 253 nt
Filed under: uncultured bacterium
Lineage: Bacteria
Description: partial 16S ribosomal RNA
Rfam family: Bacterial small subunit ribosomal RNA
Source: RNAcentral